GUUCCUACCAGUGGAAACCAAGGCAUUAUCUUUUGUACUAUUUUUCUUCCUCAUUGCCACUUUAUCAUCUACUCUGAUAUCUGAAGACUUCCCACAAGGCCCUGAGGACUGGAUCAGAGUGAAGCAAGAGGAGUCAGAGUCAGACAGAAGGUGAUGUGAUGAUGGAAACAGAGAUUGGAGUGAUGUGCUUUGAAAAUGGAGGAAGGGUCACAAGCCAAAGAAUAUAGGAAGCUACUAGAAGUUGAAAAAGUCAGGGAAACAGAUUCUCCCCACAGAGCUCCCAGAAGAAAACAACACUGUCAACACUUUGAUUUUCGUUCAGUGAAACUGAUCACAAACUUCUUACCCCAGAACUGUAAGGGAAUAAAUUUCUAUUGUUUUAAGCCACUGUUGGUGGUAAUUUGUUACAGCAGCAGUAGGAAACUAACACACCCUGCUUAGAGCUUUGAGGUCAGCCUGUGCUGUGAACUGUGAUUGUGGAAAGUGAGGAGGACAUUUCUGUGACUCCCCAGAAUCCAUUCCACCUUCCCCCAUUAGACUUUAGCCAUGUAACCUGGGGAGUUCAUCCCCGGAGUGGGUCCUGAUUAGUUCAAGCCCAACUCCAUUAAAGUUGGUUGAUUCAGAAAUACAAGCCUGAGUCAAUCAGAGCAUGGAAUUAUCCUGCAACAGGAAUUAAUGUAGAAAUGGGCACAUGACCCAACUUGAGCCAAUGAGAUGCAGGGAGAACAAAGAAAGACAGUCUCUCUUUUUCUGCUUUCUAUUUCACUGAGAAAGUAGAAGCAAUCAAGAAUCUUUCUCAAUCUCACACCAUCAUAUAUAGCCAUUUAUUGCACCUGUGCCCAUAUACUCUGCUUUUUUCCUUGAUACUAAGGAUGAAGAGUCAGUGAUUGUCCUUCAGAUCUCACCCCUCUUACCUACCUAAGGACACACGGCCCCAGCUCCACAUCCCCCCAACCCAAUCUUCAGCGUCAUGAAUUUCCCCCUCUCUACUAGACUCUUCUCAUCAGCAUAAAAAUACAUUUUAUUUUCCC
This 1031-nucleotide long non-coding RNA is filed under the name Equus caballus (horse). RNAcentral's name for it is "lncRNA (ENSECAG00000058787.1)". Lineage: Eukaryota; Metazoa; Chordata; Mammalia; Perissodactyla; Equidae. The record is from RNAcentral.